Molecule: ribosomal RNA, 468 nt
Filed under: uncultured bacterium
Lineage: Bacteria
Description: partial 16S ribosomal RNA
Rfam family: Bacterial small subunit ribosomal RNA
Source: RNAcentral
GACGAACGCUGGCGGCGUGCUUAACACAUGCAAGUCGAACGGAAAGGCCCUGCUUUUGUGGGGUGCUCGAGUGGCGAACGGGUGAGUAACACGUGAGUAACCUGCCCUUGACUUUGGGAUAACUUCAGGAAACUGGGGCUAAUACCGGAUAGGAGCUCCUGCUGCAUGGUGGGGGUUGGAAAGUUUCGGCGGUUGGGGAUGGACUGGCGGCUUAUCAGCUUGUUGGUGGGGUAGUGGCUUACCAAGGCUUUGACGGGUAGCCGGCCUGAGAGGGUGACCGGCCAAAUUGGGACUGAGAUACGGCACAGACUCCUACGGGAGGCAGCAGUGGGGAAUAUUGCACAAGGGGCGGAAGCCUGAUGCAGCAACGCCGCGUGCGGGAUGACGGCCUUCGGGUUGUAAACCGCUUUCGCCUGUGACGAAGCGUGAGUGACGGUAAUGGGUAAAGAAGCACCGGCUAACUACGUG